RNAcentral lists this ribosomal RNA (253 nucleotides) under uncultured bacterium. RNAcentral describes it as "partial 16S ribosomal RNA". It matches the Rfam family "Bacterial small subunit ribosomal RNA", at positions 524 to 776 of the family's 1533-position model. The record is from RNAcentral.
UACAGAGGUGGCAAGCGUUGUUCGGAAUUACUGGGCGUAAAGGGCGCGUAGGCGGCUUUUUAAGUCAGACGUGAAAUCCCCCGGCUUAACCUGGGAACUGCGUCUGAUACUGGGAAGCUUGAGUUCGGGAGAGGGAUGUAGAAUUCCAGGUGUAGCGGUGAAAUGCGUAGAUAUCUGGAGGAAUACCGGUGGCGAAGGCGGCAUCCUGGACCGAAACUGACGCUGAGGCGCGAAAGCUAGGGGAGCAAACGGG